RNAcentral lists this ribosomal RNA (450 nucleotides) under uncultured bacterium. RNAcentral's name for it is "partial 16S ribosomal RNA". It matches the Rfam family "Bacterial small subunit ribosomal RNA", at positions 354 to 796 of the family's 1533-position model. The record is from RNAcentral.
GUGGGGAAUCUUCCGCAAUGGACGAAAGUCUGACGGAGCAACGCCGCGUGAGUGAUGAAGGUCUUCGGAUUGUAAAGCUCUGUUAAUCGGGACGAAAGAGCCUAGUGUGAAUAAUGCUAGGAAGUGACGGUACCGGAAUAGAAAGCCACGGCUAACUACGUGCCAGCAGCCGCGGUAAUACGUAGGUGGCAAGCGUUGUCCGGAAUUAUUGGGCGUAAAGCGCGCGCAGGCGGAUCUGCCAGUCUGUCUUAAAAGUUCGGGGCUUAACCCCGUGAUGGGAUGGGAACUACAGAGCUAGAGUAUCGGAGAGGAAAGUGGAAGUCCUAGUGUAGCGGUGAAAUGCGUAGAUAUUAGGAAGAACACCAGUGGCGAAGGCGACUUUCUGGACGAAAACUGACGCUGAGGCGCGAAAGCCAGGGGAGCGAACGGGAUUAGAAACCCGAGUAGUCC